This 485-nucleotide ribosomal RNA is filed under the name uncultured bacterium. Its description in RNAcentral is "partial 16S ribosomal RNA". It matches the Rfam family "Bacterial small subunit ribosomal RNA", at positions 899 to 1397 of the family's 1533-position model. The record is from RNAcentral.
ACUCAAAUGAAUUGACGGGGGAGCGCACAACCGGUGGAGCAUGUGGUUUAAUUCGAUACGAAGCGAAGGACCUUACCUGGGUUUGACAUGUAGUUGCAAGCCCUGUGAAAGCAGGGCCGCCUUCGAGGGUAUUACACAGCUGCUGCAUGGCUGUCGUCAGCUCGUGUCGUGAGACGUCUGCUUAAGUGCAGUAACGAGCGCAACCCCUGCUGUGUGUUAUAUAUUCACACAGGACUGCCUUACAACAAGUAGGGAGGAAGGAGGGGACGACGUCAAGUCAUCAUGGCGCUUACAUCCAGGGCCACACACAUCCUACAAUGGGGAGGACAACGGGUCGCGAAACCGCAAGGUCGAGCUAAUCCUUCAAACCUCUCCUCAGUUCAGAUUGGGGGCUGCAACCCGCCCCCAUGAAGUCGGAAUCGGUAGUAAUCGCGGGUCAGCAGACCGCGGUGAAUACGUUCUCGCUCCUUGUACACACCGCCCGU